UGAAAUCGGUCACACGCUGCUC
This 22-nucleotide non-coding RNA is filed under the name Rattus norvegicus (Norway rat). Lineage: Eukaryota; Metazoa; Chordata; Mammalia; Rodentia; Muridae. The record is from RNAcentral.